This is a non-coding RNA of Canis lupus familiaris (dog), 127 nucleotides long. NCBI's taxonomy places the organism in Eukaryota, Metazoa, Chordata, Mammalia, Carnivora, Canidae. The record is from Rfam.
GUCUACGGCUAUACCACCCUGAAUGUUCCUGAACAUAUCUGAUGUCAGAAGCUAAGCAGGGUUGGGCCUGGUUAGUACUUGGAUGGGAGAAAAAGAGAACAAAACAAAACACCCUGCCCCUCUGCCA